AACACUGUUAACCUGCGGUACCUGCGGAGGGAUCAUUAAAAAAACUUUUUGCCCUCGCGACUGCGGUCGUCCGAGGCAAAAAAAACCCACACUGUGUGCACCGUUACCGUUUUCUUUGGCAGGGGCUUGGGGUUGUGUUUCUCGCACGCCUCAACUUCUCCUCUGGCUCCAUCCUAAUUUGUAUAUGUUGGGACAGCCGGACAUGGGAGGCCGUACCCUGCCAAGUGACCCUAAAUCACU
RNAcentral lists this unclassified non-coding RNA (240 nucleotides) under soil metagenome. RNAcentral describes it as "partial contains 5.8S ribosomal RNA, internal transcribed spacer 2, and large subunit ribosomal RNA". The record is from RNAcentral.